GAUGAAGAACGCAGCGAAAUGCGAUAAGUAGUGUGAAUUGCAGAAUUCAGUGAAUCAUCGAAUCUUUGAACGCACAUUUCGCCCAUUGGUAUUCCAAUGGGCAUGCCUGUUCGAGCGUCAUUUGUACCCUCAAGCUUUGCUUGGUGUUGGGCGUUUGUCUUUCGAGACUCGCCUUAAAAAGAUUGGCAGCCGGCAUACUGGUUUCGGAGCGCAGCACAAAUUGCGGUCUGUUCCUGAAUGUUGACGUCCAUGAAGCCCCCAUUAUCACUUUUGACCUCGGAUCAGGUAGGGAUACCCGCUGAACUUAAGCAUAUCAAUAAGCGGAGGA
This 328-nucleotide unclassified non-coding RNA is filed under the name soil metagenome. RNAcentral describes it as "partial contains 5.8S ribosomal RNA, internal transcribed spacer 2, and large subunit ribosomal RNA". The stretch from base 1 to 120 matches the Rfam family "5.8S ribosomal RNA", at positions 35 to 154 of the family's 154-position model. The record is from RNAcentral.